CAUUUUUUUGAUGGCUACAACAACACUUAUUUCAAUCAGCCAUUAUCAGGUAUGUUUUUUUAUUUACGUUUAAAAUAAUAAAAUUAUCAGACAACAUAAUAUCUAAACUGACACACCUUCCAUAGCAUGUUCUAUUUACUUUCAUCUUUGUGACCAAACUCUUUUGUUUUCAACGGUAGCCCAAUUUGCAUAGUAAAUACAAAGGAAAUGUAUUCCUUGUAUAUACAUAUUGAAACCGAAAGUAAAUUUUAAGUAAAUUUUAAAGAAGGAUUGUUUCUAAAUGGCAUUAAACACGCUCAGACUGAUACAUUCAGGAUCAUUCACGAACAUUAUUGUGACUCUGGUCAAUUAAACACUACCAUGACUACAGUGUAGUACUCGUUUUAAUUAAGGUUCUUCAUAACUAACGAACAAAAAUGGCGGUAUUUCCACCUCAAAAUCUUUGUACAGACUUAUCUGUCCAGUUGGAAAAGUUUUAAGUAACUACAAUAGUCAAUACCGUUCCCUUUUCAUGAAUGUGAUAUUCCGAAUUAGACUAUUUACCAGAUUUGUAAUACCAUAAGUAGAACGACGGGUGCUACAUGUUGAACAUGAUCUACUCACCCUUACGGAGCACCUGCUAUCAGCCCCAGUUUUUUGUGGGGUUCAUGUCGCUAAGUCUUUACUUUUUGUUGAGCCUGCGACUUUAGUUGCAGAAAGCUCGACGUAGGGAUAGUGAUCCGGCGUGUUAGCUCACUUCUUAAAAGCUUUAUAUUUUAGAAAGUAAGAAGACCUGGAUGCUUUAUACUUUGUAUAUAGAUGCCUCAUGUUACGAAGUGUCCGUCAGUCACAUGUCCAAUGUCCUUGACCUCAUUUUCAUGGUUCAGUGACUACUUGAAAAAAAAGUUAUAAUUUUUUGUAAUUUUAAAUUCUCUCUUAUUAAAAGUAAUAGGAUAACUAUAUUUGGUAUGUGCGUACCUUACAAGGUCCUUAUGCCUGUCAGACAGUUUUCACUUGACCUCAACCUUAUUUCAUGGAUCAGUGAACAAGGUUAAGUUUUGGUGGUCAAGUCCAUAUCUCAGAUACUAUAAGCAAUCACUCUUAGACUAGUAUAUUCAGUGUAUGGAAGGACUGGAAGGUGUACAUGUCCAACUGGCAGGUGUCAUCUGUCCUUGACCUCAUUUUCAUGGUUCAGUGGCUAUAGUUUUUGUGUUUUGGUCUGUUUUUCUUAUACUGUAUGCUAUAGGUCUACUAUAUUUGGUGUAUCAGAGGUGGAUUUAGGGGGGCAGGGGGCCCGGGCCUCCCCUUUUUGGGAAAAAAUUUGGUUGCUUAUAUAGGGAAUCACUGAAGCGUGACUGGACCGGGUCCCCUCUUAGGUCAGUCAGUGGGCCCCCACUUAUGAAAAUUUCUGCAUCCGCCACUGUGUAUGAAAUGUUUGUAAGGUGUACAUGUCUAGCUGGCAGGUGUCAUCUGACCUUGACCUCAUUUUCAUGGUUAGUGGUCAAAGUAAAAGUUUUUGAGGUUUGGUCAUUUUUUUCUAAUACUAUGUGCAUUAAGUCAACUAUAUUUGGUGUAUUGAAAUAUUUUAUGAUCUAAAUGUCAGUCUUAACUUUGACCUCGACCUCAUUUUCAUGGUUCAUUGCUCAGUGUUACGUUUUUGUGUUUUGGUCUGUUUGUCUUAAACUAUAAGCAAAAGGCCAACUAUAUUUGUUGUAUGGAAGAAUUGUUAACUGUACAUGCCUGCCUGCCAUGGUUUAUCUGACCUUGACCUCAUUUUCAUGGUUCAUUGGUCAAUGUUUAGUUUUCUUGGUUAAUGUUAAGUUUAUGUGACAGUUGUGAUAAAUCUUUAUAUUUAGGACUGUCAACAUAAUAUCAAUGAUUAGUAAAGAAGCCUAGACAUUUUAGCGUGUGCACUCUUGUCUAUGUUGUGUCCUGUGUAAUUAUUUGUCUGUUUGUCUUUUUAUUUUUAGCCAAUGAGGCGUUGUCAGUUCAUUUUAAAUCAAUCUAUGAGUUUAACAGUCCCUCUGAUACCUUUCGCCCCUCUUUUGUAAGGCUUGGCAUCCACUAGAUAUAUAAACGUUAAAUGCAUUUUGUUUUCUAUAGAUCAUUUUAUAAUCUCUGGAAAAAAUUUAAAUUAUGUUUUAGUUGAAAUUUUCUAAGUUAAAUUUUGAUGCGAUAUAUUUUACAAUAAAUGUUUGUAUAUUUAUUAACCAGCUGUUUAUGGGAUAUCGUAAAUUAUUCUCAAGGUUUUUCGACUACCUUACGCAACCGUCUGCUUCAAAUUAUUAUUAGAAAAAAUAAGUUUGGUAAAACAUUCACAAUUUCUUUUUUCAGAACAUUCAGAAUUUUUAUUAAGUGCUAGAAUUUCAACUUAAAUCGAAUUGUACAUGUAAGUAUAAACUGUAUGCUAUUUUCAAUUGUCCCAAAUAUAUAUAUAUAAUACUGGUUCAGAUUGUGACAUAUGGGUAUAAUACUUAUUCCAAAUUGAUCCCGGUAUUAACAAUCAUUUCCUGAAAAGAGUUUGUGAUUUAAAUUAAACUUUGUUUUUGAAAUUGAUUAAAAAGUACAAAUGUUGAAAAGAGGAACUUUGUGUGUUAUGAUUGCAAUUCAAAAUGAUGUAAAAAUAUAAUAUGCUUUUUUUAAAACUAAUUCCAGGAGUCAGUAUUGGCUUUCGAUGAUAAUUAACACUUCUUGAAUAAAGUCUUUAUGUCCACAAUAUGUAAGAAUGAACAUCAUCAGUGCACGAUUCGAAUAAAAAGAGGACGAAAGAUACCAAAGGGACAGUCAAACUCAUAAAUCUAAAACAAACUGACAACGCCAUGGCUGAAAAUGAAAAAGACAAACAGAAAAACAAUAGUAAACAUGACACAACAUAGAAAACUAAAGAAUAAACAACACGAACCCCACAAAAAAACUAGGGGUGAUCUCAGGUGCUCCGGAAGGAAAAGCAGAUCCUGCUCCACAUGUGGCACCCGUCGUGUUGCUAUGUGAUUACAAAUCCGGUAAAUAGUCUAAUACGUGAGAAAACCUUUUAUAUUUAAAAGUAAACUUUUAUUACAGACCAGAGCCUUCCUAGUGAUAAAUUACGAACUAUAGUCUCUUUUUGUUAUUCUAGAAUGAAUUGACAAUAAAAGUAUAGCUGUCUAAGUUGUUUUAAAACAGAGUUAGAGAAACGAAAGACGAUAUACUUAACCAUGGUGUGACAUAUCUAAAGGCGUUGGUGCUGCACAACAUGGAGGAACAACCUUCAACAUCAGGAGGCAUAAAGCGUUCAAUACCACAGGAAUUACAAGACGAAAUCGACAGGAUAGCUUCAAAAGUACCACGAAACACAGGUAUCUGUAGCUUAACUUAUGAUCAUCUGAAGCCCAUUGACACUGAAAUUUAUUGAAAUUUUUACGUUUUGAGGACCUUUUUUAAGUAGACAAUCUGUAUUCCUAUAGGAAACACCAUUGCUCUUCUCCUCACAGACUUGUUCCUUGUUUUUUAUAAGGCAGACUUUUAAAUCUAAUCUUAUAUAGGCAUUAGCCUUAACCAUCACAUUUCCAUAUAUAAAUAGUACUUUCUCACUGAUUUAUUCAAAGAUUGAGAUAUCUACUUAACUGGCCUAAAAGUAAAGGAUACAACAGAUUCAAUAGUGUGUGUUUCAUAUCCUGACUCCAAUAUAUAUAUAAGGGUUAGUUGAAAACGCAACAUUUAAACACUUUAAACGAGUAAAAAAAAUCUUUUUAUUGAAAACCAAUAAUAAAAAAAAAAACAAAUAUGGCAGACAUAUGCUUAAGCUCAUUUGCAAUUAACCAUUGCAUUAUAUCUAUAUUUUGUUUCGUUUAUAGUUUAGAGUUUUAGACAUAAACAAAGGCUUAGGUUGGUGGAUUUAAUUUCUUGCACAAUUUACUUUACAAUUGGUACUAUUGGAGCAUUUUUAAGCUGACGGUUUUGAUUUCACUAAUUGUAUUAGGUCAUAUGAUGACAUAAAGAAGCUUAUAAAAAUGUCAGAUGAACCCCGGCGGCGGUGGAUAGUGACUGUUCUAUCAUUUGCAAUAAAAAAAUCCUAUUUUUUAUUGUUUCAUUUUCAACGUCGAGUAAACUAAAACUAGUCUGACUACAACAAUGUACAACAUAUCAUUGCAUAUUAGCCCUUAGUUUACAAACAAAUAAAUGCAAUGGAUAAUUACUCUAAAUGUAUUGUAAUGUCAUUGAAUUUUUGAUACUGAUAAUGCCAAGUUUAUAUUAAUUAGUUUUAUUCAUUAUUGAUAUGCAAUAGUUCAGCAUGCAGGCUGUGUAGUCAGUUUGGUGUGCAUUCAAUUCGCCAUUGACCUGUUUGAUUAAUUUAUUUCUGCAUUUGAAGAUUUUAAAAAGCAAUAAUAUUUUAAUCCUUAUUUACAGCAAAUCCAUCAGAUUUAGAUGAUAACCAGAAAAGAUGGCUGAUUCUUGGAAUAUGUCUUCACAGCAUAAUAACACCAAUACUGAGGAAAUAUGUUGUUCCAAUUUUAACAGUACUUUAUAAUGAAUUAACUCUCAAACAUAAGAUCGAUACGCAAACGUUUCCUUCCCAAUUAAAACAAUAUCCACCAACAAAAGCCUACCUGAAUUAUGAAUCUGUCAACAAC
RNAcentral lists this long non-coding RNA (4589 nucleotides) under Mytilus galloprovincialis (Mediterranean mussel). The record is from RNAcentral. Lineage: Eukaryota; Metazoa; Mollusca; Bivalvia; Mytilida; Mytilidae.